AGCAUUGCCCAGGGGCAGUAUUGUAGCCACGGAGGUUUACCCAAGGCACGAUUACUGCUAAGUGAAAUGUUUCCCAUUUGUUAUGAAAAUCUGUAAUAACUUUAUUGAGGUCUGACAUACAGU
This 123-nucleotide small nuclear RNA is filed under the name Octodon degus (degu). RNAcentral's name for it is "U4 spliceosomal RNA (ENSODEG00000022918.1)". The record is from RNAcentral. Lineage: Eukaryota; Metazoa; Chordata; Mammalia; Rodentia; Octodontidae.